UAAUACGGAGGUGGCGAGCGUUGUCCGAAGUUACUGGGCGUAAAGCGCGCGUAGGCGGGCUAGUAAGUCGGAAGUGAAAGGCCGGAGCUUAACCCCAGCAGUGCUCUCGAUACUGUUAGUCUUGAGGGCGGCAGGGAGAAGUGGAAUGGCUGGUGUAGCGGUGAAAUGCGUAGAUAUCAGUCGGAACACCGGUGGCGAAGGCGGCUUCUUGGGCCGUUCCUGACGCUGAGGCGCGAAAGCCAGGGGAGCGAACGGGAUUAGAUACCCUGGUAGUCCUGGCCGUAAACGAUGGAUAC
Molecule: ribosomal RNA, 296 nt
Filed under: uncultured bacterium
Lineage: Bacteria
Description: partial 16S ribosomal RNA
Rfam family: Bacterial small subunit ribosomal RNA
Source: RNAcentral